AGAACGAACGCUGGCGGCAUGCCUAACACAUGCAAGUCGAACGAGACCUUCGGGUCUAGUGGCGCACGGGUGCGUAACGCGUGGGAACCUGCCUUGAGGUUCGGAAUAACUCUCCGAAAGGGGUGCUAAUACCGAAUAAUGUCUUCGGACCAAAGAUUUAUCGCCUUUAGAUGGGCCCGCGUUGGAUUAGCUAGUUGGUAGGGUAAAGGCCUACCAAGGCGACGAUCCAUAGCUGGUCUUAGAGGAUGAUCAGCCACACUGGGACUGAGACACGGCCCAGACUCCUACGGGAGGCAGCAGUGGGGGAAUAUUGGACAAUGGGCGAAAGCCUGAUCCAGCAAUGCCGCGUGAGUGAUGAAGGCCUUAGGGUUGUAAAGCUCUUUUACCCGGGAUGAUAAUGACAGUACCGGGAGAAUAAGCUCCGGCUAACUCCGUGCCAGCAGCCGC
This 447-nucleotide ribosomal RNA is filed under the name uncultured bacterium. RNAcentral describes it as "SSU rRNA". It matches the Rfam family "Bacterial small subunit ribosomal RNA", at positions 26 to 518 of the family's 1533-position model. The record is from RNAcentral.